This is a small nuclear RNA of Pongo abelii (Sumatran orangutan), 97 nucleotides long. The record is from Ensembl. NCBI's taxonomy places the organism in Eukaryota, Metazoa, Chordata, Mammalia, Primates, Hominidae.
UUGCUCACUUUGGGAGCACAUAUACUAAAAUUGGAAUGAUACAGAGAAGAUUAGCAUGGGCCCUGCACAAAAAUUAUUUUAAAAAAUUAAAAUUUUA